CCAGCACUACAUUUAACCAACUACAUUACUUUGGGCAAGUUUUUUCAUCUUUUUCCAGAGUUUUCCCAACUGUAAAAUGGAAAUAAUAUGAUAAAUUGCCACAUAAAGUGAUUUUAAGGAUUAAAACAGGUAAUUUUUAAAAAAGAAAGCUAUGAAGAAUGACAAGAUGCGUGGAGUAACCAGGCUUUGUGGCACACAUUUGUAAUUCCAGUAGCCAAAAGGCUGAGGCAGGAGGAUGGCAAGUUCAAGGCCAACCUCAGUAAUUUAGUAAGGCCAUAAACAACUUUGUGAGAUCCUGUCUCAAAAUAAAAAAUAAGAAGGGCUGGGGGUGUGACUCAGCCCUCUAGGGUUCAAUAACCAGUAUCAAAGAAAAAAAAAUGUCAUGAAUGCUAAGUAAUUGUUACCUGUAUUAUUAUUAGUAGUACUAGUGGUAGUAAACUAUUCCUCCUCUUAGUCUUAUGAGAAAUGUACAGAUUAGAGAUCUGUGUAAUUAUCUCAGUAUGAAAGUGCCACAUCUGUUCUUAAAGAACUCAUACAAGAGUGCCACCCUUUUUUUAAAGAAAGAUAAUUUCUAGAGCUAGUAUUAGAGUCCUUUUGUUCUUAAAUUUCCUUCUAAGGGGUGAAUUUUUCUUCUUACUGACAUGAUAUGAAACUCACAAACCUCAAAAGAACUGUUCAUUUCCAACCACUACAUUUCUGGAUAGAAAAAGCUUCUUUCAUUCUGCUUCAACUGCUCUUUAUAGUAGCAGUGUUUGGGAAGUGUGAAGUGUUCUGACUAUUUAACAAGAGAAAUGAGCAGUGAUAGAACUGUCUGGACAGAUGGUGUGAGUCCCAGAUUUUCUAUCACGUUACUGUGACCUUAAAAGACAGAGAAAAGAACAGGAGAUGGCUGUGUGAAAUAGUUUCUUUGGAAGAUUCCCCUAGCCAUAUGCCAUUUUCAUUCUUUUCGGCACUGUUUACUUUAAGGAAAUCUAUUUUUAACACUACCAUUCCUAGGGGGGAAGAACCCAAACCUUUAAAACUAAUGUAAGGGUCUUUUUAUCUUUUAUAAUACUCUAUUUUUUAUUCAUGUGUAGUUCAUGCUGAGAAACAUAAUAGAAAGUGUGCCAUUUUUUAAGAGACUGAAAGGAACUCUGGAGAGAAAGAUUCUCUUCUUUCUAAACUUUACUCUGCUUGCCUACAGAAAAAUGUCUUGGUCAUAAGAUUGAAUAAUAAUUUGAAUAUUAACAGCAAAAAUAAAGAUACAGCUAGCAGGGUAUCUGUUAGAUAUAAGGCACUAUGAUAGGUACUUUAUGUAUUUAAUUUUAGAUAAUCCUUAUAUUGUCACAGUGGGCUAGGUAUUUUCACCAGUUGUUAGACAUGAGGAAACUACAGCUCAGAGAAGUAAAGUAAUUUUAUUCAAGAUCAUUGGCCAUGAAUGUCAGAGCCAAAAUUUAACCUCAGACGUGUUCAACUUGAGCCUAAAUGUUUUCUGCUAAGAGUUAAAAGGGUAAGUGAGUUAAUGUAACUCAUUUAGAACAGUGCCUGCCACAUUAUAAGUACCAUGUCAGAAUUAGCUACUGCCACUACUAUCAUUACUAUGUGGCUAUUACUACUGCUAUGCUGUAUAGGCACAAAGCAUAGCACUUAAACACAGCACUGACUUAGUUUUCUAUUCUCUGGGCAAGCAUUUUCUUACAGGUAUCAUAACACUCAUUCUGUUCACUCUUUUUAACUCCUGAACAUAAAGUCAUCUUUU
RNAcentral lists this long non-coding RNA (1738 nucleotides) under Marmota monax (woodchuck). Lineage: Eukaryota; Metazoa; Chordata; Mammalia; Rodentia; Sciuridae. The record is from RNAcentral.